Molecule: ribosomal RNA, 497 nt
Filed under: uncultured bacterium
Lineage: Bacteria
Description: partial 16S ribosomal RNA
Rfam family: Bacterial small subunit ribosomal RNA
Source: RNAcentral
GACGAAUGCUGGCGGCGUGCCUAAUACAUGCAAGUUGAGCGCUGAAGGUUGGUACUUGUACCGACUGGAUGAGCAGCGAACGGGUGAGUAACGCGUGGGGAAUCUGCCUUUGAGCGGGGGACAACAUUUGGAAACGAAUGCUAAUACCGCAUAAAAACUUUAAACACAAGUUUUAAGUUUGAAAGAUGCAAUUGCAUCACUCAAAGAUGAUCCCGCGUUGUAUUAGCUAGUUGGUGAGGUAAAGGCUCACCGAGGCGAUGAUACAUAGCCGACCUGAGAGGGUGAUCGGCCACAUUGGGACUGAGACACGGCCCAAACUCCUACGGGAGGCAGCAGUAGGGAAUCUUCGGCAAUGGACGAAAGUCUGACCGAGCAACGCCGCGUGAGUGAAGAAGGUUUUCGGAUCGUAAAACUCUGUUGGUAGAGAAGAACGUUGGUGAGAGUGGAAAGCUCAUCAAGUGACGGUAACUACCCAGAAAGGGACGGCUAACUACGUG